Molecule: transfer RNA, 71 nt
Filed under: Actinokineospora alba
Lineage: Bacteria; Bacillati; Actinomycetota; Actinomycetes; Pseudonocardiales; Pseudonocardiaceae
Also listed under: 1 other name
Description: Alloactinosynnema album tRNA_Cys_GCA
Rfam family: tRNA
About the family: Transfer RNA (tRNA) molecules are approximately 80 nucleotides in length. Their secondary structure includes four short double-helical elements and three loops (D, anti-codon, and T loops).
Source: RNAcentral
GGCCUACGUCACGACGGUCGUGGGGCGGCCUGCAAAGCCGUCGACACCGGGUUCGACUCCCGGGUGGGCCU